RNAcentral lists this small RNA (1834 nucleotides) under Pan troglodytes (chimpanzee). RNAcentral's name for it is "processed transcript". The record is from RNAcentral. Lineage: Eukaryota; Metazoa; Chordata; Mammalia; Primates; Hominidae.
GGUCCUUUAAGGUCUUGAACAUCGGUUUCCUGACUUGAGCGGGGCCCAUGCCCCUGCCGAGGAGGCUCAGCCUGGAAGCAGCUAGCCCAUUUCCUGUCUCCCCCACCACGACCCAGCAAGGAUCUCUACUUGACUUUCCUCCUUCAGGCAACCACCUAGAAAAUCGUUGAGUUUGUUCAUGUCACAAGUGAAAGUGUUUUUCUCAUGCAUUCAUCGUUGGCACGUAGUCCUUUGGCGAUAUUAAAAUCUACCAACAAAUGGGAAAAGUUAACAUUUGCACCAUCUUGCCGUAUUCAAAAACCUUGUGCUUAAGUGUUUUGAAAAGACAGGAUUUCACCAUAUUGGCCAGGCUGGUCUCGAACUCCUGACUUCGUGGUCUGCCCACCUCGGCUUCCCAAAGUGCUGAGGUUACAGGCGUGAGCCACCGUGCCCGGCCGCGUUUCUUGCUCUUUAAGCUCUGCUAGCUUGGCCUCUGUCACUAAAGGUGCAGCUUCAAGCUUAGGACCACCCACCAUGCCCAUCCAGGUGCUGAAGGGCCUGACCAUCACUCAUUAAGAACAGAGGAGGCUGCCUGUUACUCCUGGUGACGCAUCCCUCCAGACUCUCUGCUGUUUCCUGCCUAGGCGUGGCUGCAGCCAUGGCUAGGAAAGUGCUGCCACCCACCCACCUGGGCCGGAGCUGGUUCUGCUCCUGCUGCAGGGACACUGAGCUGGCUAUCUCGGCGCUUCGGGCAAGAACCGCAACAGGCUCUCCUGGGUCCUGCAGGUUUACAGCCGGGCCCCUGCCUUGUGCCUCAGCUCUUGAGAGCUGCUGCUGCCGGGUGACCUGAUCCAACCUGAUAAGGUGCCAUCUUCAGCUACCACUGCAAGGCCCUGAGGGCAACAGCAGCAUGGCACUGCCCACCCAGCUGCUGAUGGCCUGGUGCCAGCUGGGAGUCCUCCCGGCACUUCGAGGCCACUGAGCCACUCUUCCAGCCCGGCCCACCAUGGACAGGGGUAUCCAGCUUCCUCCUCAACCUCGUCCUCUGCCCCUGAGCCAGUGACACCCAAGGACAUGCCUGUUACCCAGGUCCUGUACCAGCACUAGCUGGUCAAGGGCAUGACAGUGCUGGAGGCCGUCUUGGAGAUCCAGGCCAUCACUGACAGCAGGCUGCUCUCCAUGGUGCCAGGGCCUGCCAGGCCACCAGGCUUAUGCUGGGACCCAACCCAGUGCACAAGGACUUGGCUGCUGAGCCACACACCCAGGAGAAGGUGGAUAAGUGGGCUACCAAGGGCUUCCUGCAGGCUAGGGGAGGAGCCACCCCCGCUUCCCUGUUGUGACCAGGCCUAUGGGGAGGAGCUGUCCAUAUGCCACCAUGAGACCUGGGCCUGGCUUUCAAGGACAGACACCGCCUGGCCUGGUGCUCCAGAGGUGAAGCAGGCCAGAAUCCUGGGGGAGCUGCUCCUGGUUUGAGCUGCAGUCAGGAAGUGCGGGACACGGUAGGGGAGGCAAAAAGCCUCGGGCACUACCCUCCCUGUGGAGCUGUUCAGUGUCCGUCGAGCUAGCCACACCCUGACACCAUGUUCAAGGGUACCGGAAGAGAAGGGUGUCUGCCCCCAACCUCCCCCGUGGGUGUCACUGGCCAGAUGUCAUGAGGGAAGCAGGCCUUGUGAGUGGACACUGACCAUGAGUCCCUGGGGGGAGUGAUCCCCCAGGCAUCGUGUGCCAUGUUGCAUUUCUGCCCAGGCAGCAGGGUGGGUGGGUACCAUGGGUGCCCACCCACCCACCACAUGGGGCCCCAAAGCACUGCAGGGCAACCCCACACCCUUGACAUAAAAGCAUCUUGAAGCUUUUA